This is a non-coding RNA of Parasteatoda tepidariorum (common house spider), 602 nucleotides long. The record is from RefSeq and is a predicted model, not a curated record. NCBI's taxonomy places the organism in Eukaryota, Metazoa, Arthropoda, Arachnida, Araneae, Theridiidae.
ACGUCGAAUAAUUUGGCCACGGACUGUACAUAAUAUGAGACUAAAUUUAAGAAUUACUAUAAAAUCAGAAUCUUGAUCCUACUUGGACAGAGUGACGGUUUGUUAAAUGUGAUGCGAAAUAAAUGAAGAUUCUCUUUCUUGAAUAGCCGCACCCAGAAUCGAAAGAUGCCCCACAGAAGUCCUCUUUCCCGAAAAAGAAAACGGAAAAGUGAAAAUCUAUUUCUCUGGCACUUCACCCUUCGACGUCUUCUUGCACAAGGAGGGAUUCGAGGUGAAAGAGAACGACGAUCACAUCAAGUACACGGUGUUCGACGACUACGUCAUCAUUUACUUUAAGGACAUCUCAAAGAAUGACGUCGGGAAAUACAAACUGACAGUCAAGAAUGACAGCGGAUCUGCCGAAGCUACCUUCUCACUCUUUGUCACCGGUCUCCCUGGUCCUCCCAUCGGUCCCUUGGAGGUGAGCGACAUCAGCCAGCACACGGCCACCCUGGCAUGGAACCCCCCGGAAUACGACGGGGGAUGUAAAAUCACUCACUAUAUGAUAGAGAGGAAAGAAACAACUCACAACCAAUGGGUGAUAGCUGUCAGCUACUGCAAGG